RNAcentral lists this ribosomal RNA (513 nucleotides) under uncultured bacterium. Its description in RNAcentral is "partial 16S ribosomal RNA". It matches the Rfam family "Bacterial small subunit ribosomal RNA", at positions 28 to 523 of the family's 1533-position model. The record is from RNAcentral.
GAUGAACGCUGGCGGCGUGCCUAAUACAUGCAAGUCGAGCGAACAGACGAGGAGCUUGCUCCUCUGACGUUAGCGGCGGACGGGUGAGUAACACGUGGAUAACCUACCUAUAAGACUGGGAUAACUUCGGGAAACCGGAGCUAAUACCGGAUAAUAUAUUGAACCGCAUGGUUCAAUAGUGAAAGACGGUUUUGCUGUCACUUAUAGAUGGAUCCGCGCCGCAUUAGCUAGUUGGUAAGGUAACGGCUUACCAAGGCGACGAUGCGUAGCCGACCGGCGAGGGUGAUCGGCCACACUGGAACUGAGGCACGGUCCAGACUCCUACGGGAGGCAGCAGUAGGGAAUCUUCCGCAAUGGGCGAAAGCCUGACGGAGCAACGCCGCGUGAGUGAUGAAGGUCUUCGGAUCGUAAAACUCUGUUAUUAGGGAAGAACAAAUGUGUAAGUAACUAUGCACGUCUUGACGGUACCUAAUCAGAAAGCCACGGCUAACUACGUGCCAGCCGCCGCAGUAA